RNAcentral lists this ribosomal RNA (492 nucleotides) under uncultured bacterium. RNAcentral's name for it is "partial 16S ribosomal RNA". It matches the Rfam family "Bacterial small subunit ribosomal RNA", at positions 29 to 507 of the family's 1533-position model. The record is from RNAcentral.
AGUGAACGCUGGCGGUAGGCCUAACACAUGCAAGUCGAACGGCAGCACAGUAAGAGCUUGCUCUUACGGGUGGCGAGUGGCGGACGGGUGAGGAAUACAUCGGAAUCUACUUUUUCGUGGGGGAUAACGUAGGGAAACUUACGCUAAUACCGCAUACGACCUACGGGUGAAAGCAGGGGAUCUUCGGACCUUGCGCGAUUGAAUGAGCCGAUGUCGGAUUAGCUAGUUGGCGGGGUAAAGGCCCACCAAGGCGACGAUCCGUAGCUGGUCUGAGAGGAUGAUCAGCCACACUGGAACUGAGACACGGUCCAGACUCCUACGGGAGGCAGCAGUGGGGAAUAUUGGACAAUGGGCGCAAGCCUGAUCCAGCCGUACCGCGUGGGUGAAGAAGGCCUUCGGGUUGUAAAGCCCUGUUGUUGGGAAAGAAAAGCAGCAGGUUAAUACCCCGCUGUUCUGACGGUACCCAAAGAAUAAGCACCGGCUAACUUCGUG